This is an RNA transcript of Passer domesticus (house sparrow), 3212 nucleotides long. It is a transcript of the gene named flap structure-specific endonuclease 1, with no coding region annotated. The transcript is spliced from 9 exons. The record is from RefSeq and is a predicted model, not a curated record. Lineage: Eukaryota; Metazoa; Chordata; Aves; Passeriformes; Passeridae.
GCGAGCGCGAGCCGCCACCCCAUUGGCCGGCGGCGGCUCCCGGCGGGCUCGGCGGCGGAGCGCGGGAGCGGCGGCGCGCGAGCGGCCGGGAUGGGAAUCCAUGGCUUGGCCAAGCUUAUCGCCGAUGUGGCUCCCGGGGCCAUCCGGGAGAACGACAUCAAGUCCUACUUUGGCCGGAAGGUGGCCAUCGACGCCUCCAUGAGCAUCUACCAGUUCCUGAUCGCCGUGCGGCAGGGAGCUGACGUGCUCCAGAACGAGGACGGCGAGACCACCAGCCACCUGAUGGGCAUGUUCUACCGCACCAUCCGCAUGGUGGAGAACGGCAUCAAGCCGGUGUACGUGUUCGACGGCAAGCCCCCGCAGCUGAAAUCCGGGGAGCUGGCCAAGCGCACGGAGCGCCGCGCCGAGGCGGAGAAGCACCUGCAGGAAGCGCAGGAGGCCGGGGAGGAGGAGAACAUCGAGAAGUACAGCAAGAGGCUGGUGAAGGUGACCCCGCAGCACACGCAGGAGUGCAAGAAGCUGCUGACGCUGAUGGGAAUUCCCUACGUGGAGGCGCCCGGGGAGGCAGAGGCCAGCUGUGCCGCCCUGGUGAAGGCCGGGAAGGUGUACGCCGCCGCCACGGAGGACAUGGAUUGCCUCACCUUCGGCAGCCCCGUGCUGAUGCGGCACCUCACGGCCAGCGAGACCAAGAAGCUGCCCAUCCAGGAGUUCCACCUGAACCGGAUCCUGCAGGACCUGCAGCUGACCUGGGAGCAGUUUGUGGACCUGUGCAUCCUGCUGGGCUGCGACUACUGCGCCAGCAUCCGCGGCAUCGGGCCGAAGCGCGCCGUGGAGCUCAUCCGGGAGCACAAAUCCAUCGAGAGGAUCGUGCAGCAGCUCGACACCAAGAAGUACCCCCUGCCCGAGAACUGGCUGCACAAGGAGGCCCAGAAGCUCUUCCUGGAGCCCGACGUGGUCGAUCCCGACGCGGUGGAGCUGAAGUGGAGCGAACCGGACGAGGAGCAGCUGGUGCAGUUCAUGUGCGGGGAGAAGCAGUUCAACGAGGAGCGCAUCCGCAACGGCGUCAGGAGGCUGAGCAAGAGCCGCCAGGGAAGCACCCAGGGCCGCCUCGACGACUUCUUCAAGGUCACCGGAUCCAUCACCUCGGCCAAGCGCAAGGAGCCGGAGCCCAAGGGAGGGGCCAAGAAGAAAGCCAAGACCAACUCCAAGCCCAACGGCACCGCGGCCACAAAGACUAAAAAGGCAAAAUAACCGGAUCGGGCGCCCACAGAACUCUGGGAUUGGGUUUUUGGGGGGCUUAAUGAGGAAUUUUAGACGAAUGGCAGUUGUGUGUCAGUGCUGCGAGUUAGUGCUGGGAAGGAAUGGGUGAGGCCAGCAGAGUGGAAGAGCUUCUGGGCACAAACACUCCCAGAUUUCAGAAUUCCAAAGCUGAACAGCUCCAGAGCAGACUCAGGACAGAUUAGAUUUCAGCCUGAUCCCAUCCAUCCCAGAAAAGGUAGAUGCAAGCAGAAACUGGAAAGAUAGGAGUGGAAGGCAAGCUGGAAUUGAGAAGGAGGCUUCAAGUAAUGAGAGAAGUGGCUUAAACGGUGGUUUUAAAUGAAAAUCCCAGUUUUAGAGGGAAUUCCAUAGCAGCCGACAAACCAAACGCAGUCUGGAACACAAAGAAUUCCAGUUUUGAGCUCUCUGGAUGCUUCGUAGACAUCAAAAUCCACAGGACAUAGACUGUAAGGAAUUCUGAUUAUGGAUCUGGAAGGUUUGAAAAUACAAACAUGUUUCUCUAUCCGGGGCCAAGGCCGGGGCUGCUCCCGGAAGGAAACGCCGCAGCCCCGGAGCGCAGGCGCGGAGCCGGGAGCGGCCGUGGCGGAGCCGGGAGCGGCGGGGCCGGGCUCGGAGCAAAGAACAUCCCAAAGUGCCUCCUCACCCAUGGACAGCAGGAAUGUCUUCCAUAGCUCCUGCUGAGGAAUGGCAGAGGCUGCUGGGAGCUCUGGCAGGAGCACCUGGACACCAGGAUGAGGGAGCCAGCCCUGCCAGGAGGAAGAGGAGGAGGUGUGGGAGGAUGGAGACAGCGGCCACCAAAGGCUGGGGAAGGCACAGGUCCAGGUGGGAGAUGCUGCCUUCCAAGGAACUGUCACUCCCAGCUGGAGCACCUGUGCUCACCUGGAUCAAUGGCACAGGCAGGAGAGGCUUGUCCUGAGCCAGGGUUUCAUUGGAAGGCUCUCAGCUCCUUGGGAAUUGCUUACAGAGCCUGUUGGAGUGCUGGCUGGAUUUGGGAGCCAAGUAUCCUGGAGCUGUGAGGCUUUUCCUGUCAGAAAUCCAUGGUGGGGAUGUGUUCCCUGGCUGUCCCAAGUGGAACAGCUUUGGAGUUGUUGCAGCCACAGGCUGGGGAUGCAUCCCCUGAAAACCAGUUCAGGAUUGUUCAUCUGACUCUGCCACUGACCUGUGACUUCCAGGGACCCUCCUGAUAUCCUGGGUAUUCCCAGGAGAGGAUAUUCCACCACCUGCCUGUUGAGCCAGGAAUUCCAGACCCACAAAGAACAUCCCAAAGUGCCUCCUCACCCAUGGACAGCAGGAAUGUCUUCCAUAGCUCCUGCUGAGGAAUGGCAGAGGCUGCUGGGAGCUCUGGCAGGAGCACCAGGACACCAGGGAAACAUUUAAACAAGAGGAGCCAAAAAGAACUGGAGCUUCUGCACAAUGAAAUCUGCAAGAAUCCAACUUCAAAUCCCCCUGGAUUGUCACUGGUCCAACUUCCAUGGACUGGUCACCGUGGCCAGGAGUGUCCAAUCCUGCUGGAAUGCACUGGACCAGGAGCUCAUUUUCAUUUUGUGCUGGUAAAGACCCUCUGGGUGACCCCCAGUGACUGGAAGGGCCAGACUGGGCUCCCAGGGCACUAAUUCCAGGGGUUCUGUUUUUGGGAAUAGCACAGAGCCGUUCCCUUGCCCAGAGGAGCAGCCAGUGCCUGCCUUGGUCCACAGAUCCCCAGGACUGACCACAGAGGAAAUGACAGGAAUGUGGAAAUCCCCCACAGUGGAGUUUGUGGUGCUCUGGAUGACAUCUUGGAUUUUUAAUGUUAAAGGGGGGCUGUGGAAUGACUUCUCUCCUUUUUAUUGUCAUUGUUCUCACUGCUCGUGUUGCUCUCACUGAUACUGUGUGUUGUCAUUAAUAUUAAAUGAUUGUAUUUGACUGGUUUCCAUUAUUAAACUGUUCUGAGCUGG